RNAcentral lists this long non-coding RNA (515 nucleotides) under Marmota monax (woodchuck). Lineage: Eukaryota; Metazoa; Chordata; Mammalia; Rodentia; Sciuridae. The record is from RNAcentral.
UCUACAUAAUUUAAUAUAUGUGUUUAAAUCUUCAUGUCUCCAUGGUCUAAUAACCUCUCUGCAGCAACGAUUUGCUUGGUCAUAAGCCAGUUGUUUUAUUAAUGGCAUUGCUUGUUCUGUAUCCCCAAAAACUCUGGUAGCUGUUUGAAUAAGCCUAUCUACAAAUUCAGCGUAAGGUUCAUUAGCUCCCUGUAUUACCUUAGAUAAUUGACCUUGUAAAUCUCCAUGUCCUUGUAAAGUCUUCCAUGCCCUAACUGCGUCUGCAGCAAUUUGUGCAUAUAUAGCAGGAUCAUAUUCAAUUUGUUGCCGUUGACCCUCAUAAGGUCCUUUUCCUAACAACAUAUCUAGAUUUCUUUGAGGGUAACUGGCUGCUGCAUUUCGCCUAGCUGUCUCCAUGCAAAAUUCCUCAUUGGCAACCUUCCAUAACAAAUAUUGUCCUCCAUUUAGCACAGAUUUACACAUGCUAGCCCAAUCUGCUGGCGUCAUGUCCAAGUUGGUAAUGGAUUCGACCAUGC